CUGGGCCAUGGCGAGGAGUGCGGCCGCCUAGGGCCCAGCCUGAGCAGGGGCCCAUGCCCUGUGCAUAUAUUAUAUGCAAGUAGGUAUAUAUAUUCCCAACAAAUAUUGUACUAGAACGCAAAAGAAGCAGCGCAGCCCAUUAAGAGAGGAAAUAGGCAGCUCAGGCGCAAACACAAAUCCCAGAAUCCCUUUCCGUUCGUUCUCUCCAAGAAAGACGCCGCCAGCUCGUUCGUCUCCCAACCGCCAUCGUCUUCCUCACCAAUUGAUUGUCCCGAUUUCCGAACAGCCCAGGACCCCAACUCCCGAUAUUAAUCAAUGUUUAAUUGUAUCAUUAUCUAAUAUAAUGGAUUUCUUUGGUUUCUCUCAUCCUAUAAAUACUCCAGGGCUUUAGGCGGGCGGAGACGAGGCGACAGACACACCGCCCUUGGAGGAGAAAGGCAAAAGGCAUACGGCAAACAACAGCUCCUCUGAUUUUUGCUGAUCUGGAGCUAUAAUUUCUGUCAAAUUGGAUCAAGAAAUUAAGAAGAGUUAAAAGAAGACUUCUUGGUUGCUGGUUGUUGGAGCAUGUGACAUAUACAUGAUGUAUUAAGACCAUAUUUCAUAUCUGCUAAUGAAAUUUACACUUGCUUUUA
This is a long non-coding RNA of Triticum aestivum (bread wheat), 632 nucleotides long. RefSeq lists it as uncharacterized. Lineage: Eukaryota; Viridiplantae; Streptophyta; Magnoliopsida; Poales; Poaceae. The record is from RefSeq and is a predicted model, not a curated record. The transcript has 2 exons.